This is a long non-coding RNA of Lagenorhynchus albirostris (white-beaked dolphin), 689 nucleotides long. RefSeq lists it as uncharacterized. The transcript has 3 exons. The record is from RefSeq and is a predicted model, not a curated record. Lineage: Eukaryota; Metazoa; Chordata; Mammalia; Artiodactyla; Delphinidae.
AGGUGCAAAGGGCAGCCUGAUGCUGGAGGGACACGGGUCACGCAGCAGCCCCAGAUUUCCCUCCCUUUGUAGUUGACUGAAGCAGCUGCAGCCACAGCAGUUGGCAAGAAAUGGAAUGGUUCCUCUUUUUCCUGUUUCCUCAAUAUUUUCCUAAAAGACACAAACUUACAGAAGUUGUUUCUGAAAGUGGAGCUGACUGGAAAAGUACCCAGUUUUGUUUCUAGAUAUCUAUUUGUAGAAUUUUCCAAAGUCAGUCCGUCAGAGACAGGGGAUUCCAUCUCAAUCUACCUUGAAAGGCGAUUGAAUUAAACAAGCAUUUGAGGUAAAGCUGCAUCAGGCAUGAAUCCAGUUCUCAAGGAGCUCACUGCCAAGCUCAGCAGGUGAGACAGAGCACGAGGGGAAAAGGCAUUGGUGCACAAGAACAAGAACCACGGGACCAGUAACUGGGGUCUUGUCCUGAGAGGCUGUGAGAAUCACUCCACUGCUUUUUCUUCAGGGUAACUUCAUCUCCCCACAUCAUGAUUUACUGUAAGGAUUGUGGGAAAUGCUUUGCCCCCUUUGGAUGAAAGGUGUAUUAUAUAAGGUCUGUAAAAGGUUUUUGGAUACGUUUAGGAAAAAAUAAGUGAUAACAAUGAUAGUAAUAUCUAGCAUUUAUUGAAUGCUUAUUAUACGCCUGGCAUUAAACUAAA